RNAcentral lists this ribosomal RNA (440 nucleotides) under uncultured bacterium. RNAcentral describes it as "partial 16S ribosomal RNA". It matches the Rfam family "Bacterial small subunit ribosomal RNA", at positions 338 to 795 of the family's 1533-position model. The record is from RNAcentral.
CCUACGGGUGGCAGCAGUGGGGCAUAUUGCACAAUGGGGGAAACCCUGAUGCAGCGACGCCGCGUGAGUGAAGCAGUAAUUCGUUAUGUAAAGCUCUAUCAGCAGGGAAGAAAAUGACGGUACCUGAGUAAGAAGCACCGGCUAAAUACGUGCCAGCAGCCUCGGUAAUAAGUAUGGUGCAAGCGUUAUCCGGAUUUACUGGGUGUAAAGGGAGCGCAGGCGGGACGGCAAGCCUGAUGUGAAAGCCCGCGGCCCAGCCGCGGGACUGCAUUGGGAACUACCGGGCUGGAGUGCCGGCGAGGUAGGCGGAAUUCCUGGUGUAGCGGUGAAAUGCGUAGAUAUUAGGAGGAACACCAGUGGCGAAGGCGUCCUACUGGACGGUGACUGACGCUGAGGCUCGAAAGCGUGGGGAGCAAACAGGAUUAGAUACCCUAGUAGUC